GCAGCAGCCGCGGUAAUACAGAGUGUGCGAGCGUUAAUCGGAUUUACUGGGCGUAAAGCGUGCGUAGGCGGCUUUUUAAGUCGGAUGUGAAAUCCCUGAGCUUAACUUAGGAAUUGCAUUCGAUACUGGGAAGCUAGAGUAUGGGAGAGGAUGGUAGAAUUCCAGGUGUAGCGGUGAAAUGCGUAGAGAUCUGGAGGAAUACCGAUGGCGAAGGCAGCCAUCUGGCCUAAUACUGACGCUGAGGUACGAAAGCAUGGGGAGCAAACAGGAUUAGAUACCCCCGUAGUCCCUGUCUCUUAUAA
RNAcentral lists this ribosomal RNA (302 nucleotides) under uncultured bacterium. RNAcentral describes it as "partial 16S ribosomal RNA". It matches the Rfam family "Bacterial small subunit ribosomal RNA", at positions 508 to 809 of the family's 1533-position model. The record is from RNAcentral.